GGGCUCGUUGUCCAGUUGGUUAACUCUCCAAAGGAGGCCAAAAGACGCUUCCCUCACGCGGAAGAGAUCUCCGGUUCAAAUCCGGACGGGCCCACCA
Molecule: transfer RNA, 97 nt
Filed under: Candidatus Bathyarchaeota archaeon
Lineage: Archaea; Thermoproteati; Candidatus Bathyarchaeota
Description: tRNA-Val
Source: RNAcentral